GAUGAACGCUGGCGGCGUGCUUAACACAUGCAAGUCGAACGGAAAGGCUCCUGCUUGCAGGGGUACUCGAGUGGCGAACGGGUGAGUAACACGUGGGUGAUCUGCCCUGCACUUCGGGAUAAGCCUGGGAAACUGGGUCUAAUACCGGAUAGGACGAUGGUUUGGAUGCCAUUGUGGAAAGUUUUUCGGUGUGGGAUGAGCUCGCGGCCUAUCAGCUUGUUGGUGGGGUAAUGGCCUACCAAGGCGUCGACGGGUAGCCGGCCUGAGAGGGUGUACGGCCACAUUGGGACUGAGAUACGGCCCAGACUCCUACGGGAGGCAGCAGUGAGGAAUAUUGCACAAUGGGCGCAAGCCUGAUGCAGCGACGCCGCGUGGGGGAUGACGGCCUUCGGGUUGUAAACUCCUUUCGCUAGGGACGAAGCGCAAGUGACGGUACCUGGAGAAGAAGCACCGGCUAACUACGUG
RNAcentral lists this ribosomal RNA (465 nucleotides) under uncultured bacterium. RNAcentral describes it as "partial 16S ribosomal RNA". It matches the Rfam family "Bacterial small subunit ribosomal RNA", at positions 28 to 507 of the family's 1533-position model. The record is from RNAcentral.